Xiphophorus hellerii (green swordtail) is the source of this 5031-nucleotide long non-coding RNA. RefSeq lists it as uncharacterized. The transcript has 4 exons. The record is from RefSeq and is a predicted model, not a curated record. NCBI's taxonomy places the organism in Eukaryota, Metazoa, Chordata, Actinopteri, Cyprinodontiformes, Poeciliidae.
GCUGCUGUGUCGCCUCUGAACUCCUACUGGUUUUUCUUUAAACAAAGUCUUUCUUCUUCCCAUGGAGUCGAUAUUAAAGUGACCAAAUGACACUGAGGUUGGCUCUGUUUUGACCGUUAGGUAACUGGUGGCAGUGGAUUUAGUUUCUGGGUAUCUGAAGGAGCAGACAUCUGAAGUUUGGCCUACUUCACGCUGCCAGCAGGGAUCUCCUGAUUUGGAAUGAGGAAACGCAGGUCUGGGUGUGAAGGGUGAAACUGAAUCUAAAACGUGUUUAAUAAAAUUGAAUUUAUGAUUUAAUGAGAGGGAUUUAUAUUUUAAAUAGCCUUUUCCCUUAAUAAAUGAAACAGUGAUGUAAAAACUGCUUUUUGUAUUUACUUGAGUUAUUUUUAAAGUUUAUUUGAUCUGAAAUAUAUCAGGGUACAUUUCCACCUUUAACCUUUCAGUUUCUGAUCUUAGGAAUCUGAUGGCAAUAAUCUGAAUUUUUCCUUGAAAUCACUUGAUAAAUGGAGGGAAAUGAUGGAAAAUGGAGUAUUUCUUACUUCUCCUUAAUAAGCAGCAUCUGUUUCCUGACUGUAACUUUAGUCCGUCUGAAUCCGGAUGUUUCCGGGUUUCCCAACUCAUUCCAGUCAGGCACUUCAUGGUCUUUGAUCUUAUUUUUUAUUUUUCUCCGAAAACAAAAAGGUGCCUGCAGAUUGAAACGUGCCACAUAUCAUCAAACAAGCAGAACUUAAGAACAGAGGCUACAUAAACAAAAGGUUAUUAUCUGUAUAAAGUCAGCAGAAGGUCAGGCCCAGAUUACAGUUCAUACAUCAGUUUUUGUGAACAUGUUUUCACUCAACCGUUUUUUGAUCUUUGCUCUUUCUCAUUUGACAUUUAAUUUUUUGCUGCUGGCUGAAAUCAUCCCAACUGUAAGUAAAGCUCAGAGUGAUAAAGACGGAGUCUAAUCGCGGCGCUCGCAUGUUUAUCACCACCGGUAAACUAAUCACCCGUAAAAACUCCCCAGAGAUGAUUUUACAAUCAUGCCCAACAGAUCUGUUUUCCCCGCUCUGCCGCAGGGAAGCCGGUUAAAGACGAUUCAUUCAUCAAGACACCAAAAUGGAGGUGAAACGUUCUCCAACGAGGCUCCAUCAUCCUCCUGCUCCACUUCUCCUGGAGCAGGAGGAGACUCGGAGCGAAGGCGGUCAGAGCUCGCCGGAUUAAAACGACUCCCUCCUGAACCUCCAGUUCCUCCCCACGCACGGCUCCAGGCAGAAGGGAAAGCCGCCUCAUUGCUAUUCAGUCUAUUUUUACCUCCGCUCCUCCGCCCUGUCUCUACUGUAGCUCUUCCUUCUGCUGAUUCCCGGGAACAGAGUUACAGAAAUCCAGAAAGAGUCGGAUGCUUUUCAACAUUUCCUCUCCCCCACUGACGGUGGGCGGUGUGACUGAUGGGAGGGAAAACCCACGAGAACGCUUUCAGCAGAAAGAUCAAGAGCUGAGUUUCAAUAAAAACCUGCAUUAGUGUACAAAAUUAAAGGAGGAAAAACAGAAUACAGGGAUAAAUAAACAUUCACAGCCCAGGUCUGCAAUGAGACGUUAAUUAAUAUGUAAUAAAUCAAUAAUAUCCUGUAAUAACAAGACAACCUGAUGUAUCAAGGUUACAGGUUUGAGCUGUUUUAUAUGACAGGAUAUAUAUAUUUGCACAUUUAUAUUAACCAUAAAUUUAAAUGUAAUUUAUUUUGAAAAACCAACACCAGGCUCCUUCCUUCCUGUCUGGCUGCCAGGCUGCUGUGCGCUGCGGCGCUGCAGGAACCGGCGGCAGUUCGAGGGAGAGAAGGCGACAGAAAGAGCUCAGCGAUCAGCAGGUCAGAUGUCGGCUCCAGUGAAUGAAACCCCCUGCCGGUGAGCGCAGAGCGGUUCUAUGGGUCAUUCAGAACCGGACCCCUGCAGACUGGUUCUGUGCCUCGUUCAGCCCAGUCUGAGGCCGUGAGUGAAGCUGGGCCUCGUUGGGCCAAUCAGUAGAGGAACACACUGUACCGAUGCAGUCAUCUGGAGCAGCGCCGCGGAGCCGUGAGGAAGGGCUGAAAUGAACGCAGCCGGUGGAGGUAUUGACCUGAGGAGCCUCUCUACUGCCGACUGUUACAAAGCUGAGCCUGAAUGAAUAACGACAUAUUGAUCAGAACUGAAGCCUCUGCAGGACAGGAAGUCGUCACGUCUCACAUGAACGCGGACAGAAACGGGACGUUAAUGAGGCUCAGAGCCGUCCGCUGCAGAGCCAGGUCUGCCGGCGUUCAGCUCACUUCUGCAUCUCCAGCAGCAUCUCAGGCUCAAGUGGCAGCUGCAGCAUUAGAGAAGCACUUGAUGCUGCAGCAGCUGCUGCUGGGAGAACCACUCCAACACCUGCCGCGGUUAGCAGAUGGAGGGAGGGUCGGUGUCGGUACGCCUCCAUCACUUCCACCAGUUUGAUCCUUCAAAUCAGCAGCAGAAAUUCCUGCUUCCCGUUUGGUCCUUCAGAUUGAAACGUCUCUUCUUUCUACAAACAGCUUCACUUGGAAAUCAUCUGGUACCUCCGACAGCAAACACUGACAUACGACUGCGCAUUAGUGCCAUUGGUAUAAAUAUAUGUAUAAAAAGAGUAAAUUUCUGCAACACAAAAAAAAUCAGAAUUUUUAUAGAAAAAACAUCCAAAUUUUCUGAAUUUCAAAUGCUAAAAAAAGUUGAAAAUAUUCUACUUAUCCAGACUGAAUCCUUCAGUGCAUCUCUGUUGCUCUGUCUGUAAACGUGUCGCCUUUAAAACGGCUCAUGCUUUAAGCUGAAUUGUUGUGCAAGAAGAAAAAGAAAAGAAAUGAUGAUGAGGUGACAGGAAGCGAUUCGAAAGCAGAAGGUACUUUUCAGAAGACGUCGCUUUUAUUUUGAUAGUCCACUUCCGGUUAUCGGCCAGUAAAUACGCGUUAGGCACGUAUGAGGAUAUUUUGCUUCGAACUAAAUAUUUAACAUGUUAGCUAAAUAUUUAAAAUACAGCCUGUUAAAUCAUAAAUAGUGUAAAGCUAAAUAGUUAGCUUGGAGCUAACUAUUUAGUAUGGAGCUAAAUAUUUAGCAUGCUAACUAAAUAUUUAGUUUAGAGAUAAAUAUUUAAUCAAUUAAAUAUUUUGCUUGAAACUAAUAUAUAUAAAUCAAUAACAUGGUGAAUGUCCCUGUUUAACAGGCUGAAUGCCUCAGAUUAGUGCUGCUGAUUGUAGCUUCACAAACGCUUCUCCUUUAUCAGCUACCAAGUUUGUGUUUGUUGAGGAAGAAAAGCACCAAUAAAACCAGAUUAAAAACAGAUGGACAUUUCACAGACGUGUUUUAUUAACUUUGAUAGGUUCAAAAACAAACAAAAGAUCAAAUUCAAGCAAACACCCAACAAUACUAAAUGACAUGUUUAGCAUUAGGAGCGUGACGGCGGGUUAACCAGCUUCAGCUCCUCUCCAUCUGCAGUAGUUUGCCUGUUUCUCCCCUCAGAGCUGCUGGAGCAGGUUGGGCCACGCGGCUGCAGAGUCCUGUCAUGUUUAGCAGAGAGGGACGAGGCGAUGGCGGCGAUGGCGGCGCGGUGGCGCGGCGCGGCCGGUGUCGUGGCCCUGCUCUGUGAUUAAGCUGACAGUUGGGAUGUCGUGGAGCGCCGCGGCACUGCUAUCGAAGCUGGGAACUGCCUGCUAUAAUUAACGGCUUCUGCUGCACCAGGAGCAACGUGCCAGAGCAGCUGAGAGGGAAUCAGACUCACAGCCAGAGGCCGGAUGGCCCCGGCAUGCUCACCGGGAGAGGCUUUAGAUUCAAUUUACUACCAGACACUUAAAUUUUAGCAAGAACAUAUUGUAAAAAAUAAAUAUCUUAUCUAGAAAGAUUCACUAUUUGCAGCAUCAAGACGAGGAAAAACAGAUUGUUUUGUUUCAGGAAAUUAAAACAUGAAUAUUUGCUAAUUUGAAGAUAUUUUGUAAAGAAAACAUCAAAAGGUAGAAACUGAAAUAUGCAGUAGAUGCUCUCUGAACACUUUGGACUGAAAUAGUUUUAUCCAUUUCACACAAUGAAAGUGAUUAAUUUAGAAUAAAUGAAGUUUUGCUGAAACAUUCAGUCCUAAAUUCCUAAACUCAUAAAGACGUGAACCUGCAGUAUCUGAACUCUGCAUUUUUCUGUUUUACUUCCACUUUGGCAUCAGAUCAUGUUGAGCUCAUUCUGCAGAACGAAUCGAAUGUUUCAUUCGUGUUCAUGAACAGUUUUUGCUCAUCAGCCUGAAGGACCAAAGUAAAACUAAACCUGGUUUAAAGCCACGCAGCGUUUUCUGGUCUCUGAUCGCUGAAAACGCGAUUCCUGACGUCACUUCACAUCUGAAAAGUGAUGCAGCGCAGCCAACCAGGCGCUGAUGCAGCUUUUCUCAUCAGUUAAUGAAUUCAGAUCUGAUGUCUGCAUCACUGCUUCACCACCUGCCUUCACUUCCUGUUUGACCAAAACCUGAGAAGUGAUUUAACUCAGAAACUCUCCUCUUCAGUUGUUUUACACUGUAAUUCUAACCAAGUACUGAUUAAAGGAUGAAAUAACAGCAGAUCUUAAAGUAUUUAUUUGAAUCUAAACAGAAGAUGAUGUUCCCUAAAAUCAAAAAUGUAUUUCUCAUAUGGACGAUCGCUAGAAACAAUAAUAUUAAUAUUAAUACAUUGUUCGUUCUCCCUGCAAUAAUUAGAUUGGUAAAAACUCUAUAUAUUUUUUCUGAGUUUUUACCUGCCUGACAAAAGAAAUGCAGUGAUUAGUCGACUUGGGAUCAACUAAAAAGUUGAUCACAAGCCUCAGUGUGGAUGUUGUAACUGAGUGAAGAAGACAUAAAAACAAAUGGUUGGGAUUCCAGGUUUGUGUUUUGGGAACUUAUUUAUUUUCCAGGACCGGAUCAGAACCUGGCUGCUUGGUGAAUCGGUUCCUGGCUCCUCCUUUGUUGUUUGAACAAAUGAUGAUAAAAUGAAUCAAAAACUUCAACUCAAUCUGUACUUUUCCAUCAUUUUAGAAUAAAAGUGAAACUCUCUUUGACUGUGA